UGUCAAAGCUACCUGCGCGAACAACGUGGUUUCGCGCGAUGCGUUUCAUACCAAUGUUUACAAUGAGCAUAAACUAAAGGAAUGACCUAGACAUCGCUUCAUCUUUCUUGUCGAAUUCCUUCGUUAACUGCUUCGUCCGAAUCGAAGCGGCGAUGGAAGCAAGUGUCGACACGACGGCAACCGCAGCUCCAGAGAGCCAAGACGCCGCUUCUCCGGAAGAGGCUGCCUGUCAUACAGAGGUGCCGUCUCGCGAAGAUGGGCCGCCUCAACCAGCCAAGAACGAAAGUGGGAUGGCUCGGAUAAAACCAGAAUUCGUGAAACAGAGCCAAUCGCGGCACGUGGAGACGGCGUUCGUGGCGCCUUCUGACCGCACGAGCGCGGCGGCGACGGACGGUGAUGGGCAGCCGCCCCCACGCAAGAAGCUGCGCGGCCAAAACCACAGCCGGCCGCACCACCGGCCGCAGCCGCAGUCGGCCAAGCUUUGCUUCAAGCAUUUGGCCAAGGAGGGCUCCUGCCUGCACGGGGAUCAGUGCCGGUACAGCCACGACCUGCAAGCGUUUCUGGCGGCCAAGCCUGCUGACCUUGGAAACAAAUGCCCUCUGGUAGAAGCACAUGGCGGCUGCCGCUAUGGUGCCGUCUGCCGCUUUGCGCAAGCGCAUCCAGGUGGCGCCACUGCUACACCCCACUUGGUCGACGGCAUUUCUGGUACUCCAGGGGAAUGCAACACCCUGAGCAAGGAACUCCAGCAGGCGCUCAGGAAGAGGCAGUUUGACUUUGGACCUUCUGAGAAGAUCCUGAAGGAAAUAUCAGCUGGGGCAGCUGUCAAUGGAGUGACCAAUGGCCAGACAUUGGACAACUGUGUGGAUGACGUGGGACCAGAGGAGCCCAAGAAGGUGGACUUCCGAGGAAAGCUCUAUCUGGCCCCCUUAACCACGGUGGGCAAUCUUCCUUUUCGUCGGGUGUGCAAGGAGUUUGGUGCCGACAUCACAUGUGGCGAGAUGGCAAUGGCCGCCAACCUGCUCCAGGGUCAGCCGUCGGAGUGGGCCCUGCUGAAGCGACACUCCUCAGAAGACCUCUUUGGAGUCCAGCUGUGCGGCGCACACCCAGACGUGAUGACACGCUGUGCCCAGCUGCUCAGGGACAAGUGCAGUGUUGACUUUGUUGACAUCAACAUGGGUUGCCCCAUUGAUUUUGUCUACAAAAAGGGAGCCGGAUCGGGGCUCAUGGGCCGUGCCAAGAAGCUUGCCGAGAUUGUUUACGGCAUGGUGGGUGCACUGGACAUUCCCCUGACGGUGAAGAUGCGUGCAGGCAUGCAUGAGGGCCGCGCCAUUGCUCAUCAAGUCAUUGCCCAGCUCGUUGCGGCUCCUCGCAAGCCUGCCCUCAUUACAGUGCACCCACGUUCUCGUGAGCAGCGCUACACCAAGUCAGCUGACUGGACCUACCUCGACCGCUGUGCCCAGGCAGCCACCCCCAUCCCAGUGUUUGGCAGCGGGGACGUCCUGAGCUGGGAGGACGCUGAGAAACGGCUUUCAGAGACAUCUGUCAGUGGUCUGAUGAUUGCGAGGGGAGCUCUUAUCAAGCCAUGGAUUUUCACCGAGAUCAAGGAGCGGCGGCACUGGGACAUCUCUUCCUCGGAGCGCCUCGACAUUCUGCGGAAAUACACUGCCUAUGGCCUCGAUCACUGGGGCUCUGAUACAGAGCUUUGCAGCGACGACGGCAUCCUCAAACUCAGCAAGGCUGUGAGCCAGUUUCUCCAUCAGGCCCCUCUUCUCUUUGAAUGCCCUCAUGGUGGUAAACGCAUGUGCCGUGUCAGAGACGAAAGGACCAUCACCUUCUUCCACAUCGUUCACGACGACGCGGCAGCACCAGAAGCUAUUGGGAGCAGUAAACGUGUCAUGACCACCACAUUUAGACGUCACAGUCGGUGCGGACUGCUGUCUGUGAAAAAUAUGGCGUCGAACGGACGCGGCGCUUCCUCCUGGAGUGGCUGUCCUUCCUUCACAGGUACAUCCCCGUGGGCCUUCUAGAGGUUCUUCCGCAAAAGAUCAACGAGAGGCCACCGCCAUAUCGUGGCCGUGAUGAUCUGGAGACCCUUUUUGCCAGUCCAUCUUGUGCUGAUUGGCUAAAGAUCAGUGAAAUGCUCUUGGGACCCCUUCCUGAAGGAUUCAACUUCCUGCCAAAGCAUAAAGCCAACGCCUACUCGGUCUAGCAGAUUGAGCAUGGUUGGCACAUCACCAGUAGUCUGUAGGUCAGAAGCUGACUGCUUGGUGUGACCAAUGGCUGCCUUUUGGUUUUGAAGCUAUGUGUACAGCGAGAGUUGAAGAACUGAUGCAAGAAUCGUCCACACUUCUGUGAUUUUAGGUGCUUUUGUUAUAGAUACAACCAUUGAACACGGACACGGCUGAUUUCUUGCUUGAAUUUUGAACUCAUCAUCAAUUUAUGCAUAAUAUUAAAAUAAUAAAAAAUGUGAUCAUAGUAUGCAAAAGCCUGGAAGUGUGUGUUUAUUUAAGAGAUGAACUCAGAAUUUUUAUUUUGCAUUUGGACAAUGCCUCUAUAACUGUGAUGGCAACCAUGUGACAAAGUGCGGCCUAGGCACAAGCAUGAACUCUCAGAAUGACAGUCUGUAGUCUGAGUUGGUACACAACUUUCACCUUGGAGGUUUAACCAUAUGUGUGGCAUGAUGAGAAAUGAAGAUUGUUGUGCAAUUGUGUGCUUCUCAAGACAUGUUAUUCUUCUUUUAGGUUGCCACUUUGUCUAUUUCUCAUAAGCCCAGUAUUGCUCUGGUUUGUUAUACCUUGUGCAUAAUCGCUUCUUAGCAGUGCAUAUCGUGGGCCAGCUGUGCAACACUAUGCCAUUGAGGAACAGUGUGCCAUUUACGGUCUUUGUCAGAAGUUUCUGGGCCAUUGCAUGUGUGAACACAAUGGCAAUGAACACAAAGGCAUAGCAAUACUACUUGUCCGGCUGUGACCUUUUUUGUGACUUACAGGCAAGACGAUGGAAGCUAAGCAUGUUCUGUAGUCCCGAAAAGGU
This is an RNA transcript of Dermacentor silvarum, 3030 nucleotides long. It is a transcript of the gene named tRNA-dihydrouridine(47) synthase [NAD(P)(+)]-like, with no coding region annotated. NCBI's taxonomy places the organism in Eukaryota, Metazoa, Arthropoda, Arachnida, Ixodida, Ixodidae. The record is from RefSeq and is a predicted model, not a curated record. The transcript is spliced from 15 exons.